GACGAACGCUGGCGGCGUGCUUAACACAUGCAAGUCGAACGGUGAAGCGCCUUCCUUUUUGGUGGGUGUGGAUGAGUGGCGAACGGGUGAGUAACACGUGAGUAACCUGCCCCCUUCUUCUGGAUAACCGCAUGAAAGUGUGGCUAAUACGGGAUAUUCUGGGUCUGUCGCAUGAUGGGUCUGGGAAAGAUAUUGUUUCGGUGGGGGAUGGGCUCGCGGCCUAUCAGCUUGUUGGUGGGGUGAUGGCCUACCAAGGCGAUGACGGGUAGCCGGCCUGAGAGGGUGGACGGUCACACUGGGACUGAGACACGGCCCAGACUCCGACGGGAGGCAGCAGUGGGGAAUAGGGCACAAUGGGCGCAAGCCUGAUGCAGCGACGCCGCGUGAGGGAUGGAGGCCUGCGGGUGGUGAACCUCUUUCGCCAGUGAAGCAGGCCUGCCUCGUUUGUGGGUGGGUUGACGGUAGCUGGAUAAGAAGCGCCGGCUAACUACGUG
Molecule: ribosomal RNA, 494 nt
Filed under: uncultured bacterium
Lineage: Bacteria
Description: partial 16S ribosomal RNA
Rfam family: Bacterial small subunit ribosomal RNA
Source: RNAcentral